AGGUCCGGCUGGGGAGCGGAACGGCAUGGGAGGGCCGGCCGCAGCGGGUGACAGCCCCGUACGCGAACCCAGACCGGACGGCGCGACGCGGUCCCUGAGUAGGGCCGGGCACGUGAAACCCGGUCCGAACCUGGGUGGACCACCAUCCAAGCCUGAGUACUACCCUGUGACCGAUAGCGCACCAGUACCGUGAGGGAAAGGUGAAAAGCACCCCGGGAGGGGAGUGAAACAGUACCUGAAACCGUGCGCCCACGAGCAGUCGGAGCAACUUUCAGUUGUGACGGCGUGCCUUUUGUAGAAUGAGCCAGCGAGUCGCUGGCGCGGGGCGAGGUUAACCGAAAGGGAGCCGGAGCGAAAGCGAGCCUUAACAGGGCGACUUGAGUCCCGCGCCGCGGACGCGAAGCCGGGUGAGCUAUCCGUGGGCAGGCUGAAGCGGGGGUAAGACCCCGUGGAGGGCCGAACGCACGUCGGUUGAAAACGGCGGCGAUGACCUGCGGAUAGGGGUGAAAGGCCAAUCAAACCCGGAGAUAUCUCGUUCUCCCCGAAAUAGCUUUAGGGCUAGCGUCGCGCGUUCACCGCCGGAGGUAGAGCACCGGAUGGACGAGGGGGCUUCGCCGCCUACCGAAUCCAACCGAACUCCGAAUGCCGGCGGCCCAGAGCGCGGCAGUCAGAGCAUGUGGGCUAAGCUGUGUGCUCGAGAGGGAAACAGCCCGGACCGCCCGCUAAGGUCCCCAAGUUCCAGCCGAGUGGCAAAGGAUGUGCGUCCGCCCAGACAACCAGGAUGUUGGCUUAGAAGCAGCCAUCCAUUCAAAGAGUGCGUAACAGCUCACUGGUCGAGUGGACAUGCGCCGACAAUACACGGGGCUAAGCUGGACACCGAAGCGGCGGGAUUUUAAUUCAUUAGAAUCGGUAGGGGAGCUUCCCAUGGGCGGAGAAGCCGGAGGGCGACCGACGGUGGAGCGCAUGGGAGUGAGAAUGCUGGCAUGAGUAGCGAGAGACGAGAGAGUAACUCGUCCGCCGUGAACCCGAGGUUUCCUGGGCAAGGCUAAUCCUCCCAGGGUCAGUCGGGGGCUAAGGCGAGGCCGGUAGGCGUAGCCGACGCGCAGCAGGCAGACAUUCCUGCACCGCGCACGCGGCGCUACGACCGACGGGGCGACGGAUGGGGGUGGCUCGGCGGGGUUCUGGACGUCCCCGUGAUGGAGCGCGGCCCGCGGACCAGGGAAAUCCGGUCCGCAGAAGGGCGAGGCUCCGGACGAAGCGACUGAGCGAAGCGAGUGAGCCCGAGGUCCCUAGAAAAACCCCUAGGCAGGCGCGUGCGCGCCCGUACCGCAAACCGACACAGGUGGGUGGGUAGAACAUACCGAGGCGAUCGGGUCAACCAUGGUCAAGGAACUCGGCACAAUGGCCCCGUAACUUCGGGAGAAGGGGUGCCCGCGCGUACGUGAACGGACUUGCUCCGGGAGCGGAGGCGGGCCGCAGUGGAGAGGCCCAAGCGACUGUUUACCAAAAACACAGGACUCUGCAGAAGCCGCAAGGCGACGUAUAGGGUCUGACGCCUGCCCGGUGCCGGAAGGUCACGCGGAGGAGUUAGCCAUUAAGGCGAAGCCCCGAAGCCAAGCCCCGGUAAACGGCGGCCGUAACUAUAACGGUCCUAAGGUAGCGAAAUUCCUUGUCGGGUAAGUUCCGACCUGCACGAAAGGCGCAACGACUUGGGCGCUGUCUCGACCAUGGACCCGGUGAAAUUGCACUGGUCGUGAAGAUGCGACUUACCCGCGGAAGGACGGAAAGACCCCGUGAACCUUCACUGCAGCUUGGCAUUGGCCGCUGGUCCCGCGUGUAGAGGAUAGGCAGGAGGCGCAGAUCCGGAGGCGCCAGCCCCCGGGGAGCCGCCCUUGGAAUACUGCCCUCGCGCGACCGGCGUCCUAACCCGAGGCCGUCAACCGGCUCGGGGACCGUGCCAGGCGGGCAGUUUGACUGGGGCGGUCGCCUCCUAAAGGGUAACGGAGGCGCGCGAAGGUCCGCUCGGGACGGUCGGCAACCGUCCUUUUGAAUGCAAGAGUACAAGCGGGCUUGACUGCGAGGCCCACAAGCCGAGCAGGUGCGAAAGCAGGCUCUAGUGAUCCGGCGGCCCC
Molecule: ribosomal RNA, 2132 nt
Filed under: human gut metagenome
Description: bacterial LSU rRNA
Rfam family: Bacterial large subunit ribosomal RNA
Source: RNAcentral